AUUUCACAUUAUAUACCGAGAGAUUCUAUAUUGU
This 34-nucleotide non-coding RNA is filed under the name Trypanosoma brucei brucei. Lineage: Eukaryota; Euglenozoa; Kinetoplastea; Trypanosomatida; Trypanosomatidae. The record is from RNAcentral.